AUUCAGGAGCAUCGAAAUAGGCAUAGGGACUGCCACAGUGGGGUUUUGCAGUCAGGCAGCUGGGGACAGAGAUUGGGCUCAACUCUGAAUACAGCAUGGACAAGUGAGAAUUUAUAGCCAAGGAGCAAGGUGGGGUCAGUGGAUGGAAAAUUACUAAGAUGAAAUAUCAGAGAUAAAGGGGGGAAUUGUGGCUAAGCCCAUCCAAUAGGAUUCUUGUUGCAGGCAGGCCAGGGUGACCAGACAUCACCUUGGGGAUAAUAGAGGCUAAAGAACUUUUAUUUUUUAUAUUUUUGAGGCAGAGUCUUGCUCUGUCACCCAGGCUGGAGUGCAGUGGCACGAUUUCAGCUCACUGCAACCUCCACCUCCUGAGUUCAAGUGAUUCUUCUGCCUCAGCCUCUCAAGUAGCUGUGAUUACAGGCGCCCACCACCACAUCCGGCUAAUUUUUGUAUUUUUAGUAGAAUGGGGUUUCACCAUGUUGGCCAGGCUGGUCUCGAACUUCCGAGCUCAAGUGGUCUGCGUGCCUCUGCCUCCCAAAGUGCUGGGAUUACAGGCCUGAGCCACCGUGCCUGGCCGAGGCUAAGGAACUUAAUUAGAUUAUGGAAGAUGAUCAGAUAUCGAAGGUGGGGGGCUCUGGUUAAACUGACUUAGAAGGAAUCUUGCUAAAAAGUCAGGCCUAGCUGAAAAAGUUCAGGAAAGUCUGAGUAGAGUUUGGUCAAGGAGAGAAUCUUUGUCAGGGGAG
Molecule: long non-coding RNA, 740 nt
Filed under: Homo sapiens (human)
Lineage: Eukaryota; Metazoa; Chordata; Mammalia; Primates; Hominidae
Description: HSALNT0232585
Source: RNAcentral